Long non-coding RNA from Syngnathoides biaculeatus (alligator pipefish), 719 nucleotides. RefSeq lists it as uncharacterized. The record is from RefSeq and is a predicted model, not a curated record. The transcript is spliced from 3 exons. NCBI's taxonomy places the organism in Eukaryota, Metazoa, Chordata, Actinopteri, Syngnathiformes, Syngnathidae.
CGUGUUUAUGCGCCGAGAGUAUCUUCACAUUAUUUAGACAUUAUAGCCCUAAAUAUGGAAGCUGUAUCUUUUAGCAAUGGUUCUCCAGCCAAAAGAAAAUCCAUUACCAUGGAAACGAAGCUCAAUAUCGUAAAAAGGCAAGAGAAAGGAGAGACAAAGACAAACAUCUUGGCUUCAGUCGGUCGACCGUGGUGACAAUUAUUCAAGACGUUUUAGCACAUGUGAAAGGUUCCAUUCCUAUCUCGGAUACAGUGAUCACAGAACAAUGUUUGUUGAUACUUGUCGAGGUGGAGACGUUACUUAUGUUAUGGAUUAAGGAUCAGAUUCCUUUGCAAUAGUUAAGCACAGCUUCCCUUUCUUGUUCUCCAUCCACCGCUCAGCAGUAAUGGUGCCAGUUCGUGUUAUGAGACUGCAUUAUUCUGCCACGUCAGAAUGCUGCCGUAUAUUGAUUUUUUCAUCUCCCGCCAUGAAAAAUCUCUCAAGGCUUUUGUGCUGAACAAGAACCAGGAAGUGACAUUUUUUGCAGACGCCUACAGUGGCGAGGUCGAGUAUUGUACCGGCGAGAAAUUAGCUGUUUUUCUGCAUGUUAGCCAAAAUGCUAGCUCGUCGUAUUGCUGGAUUUUGCUCAAACACUCGGGAGGAGGGAUUCACUCUCCACCCGGAUUUGUCAUGAAAAAUGGAUUGCAGAGGUGCAAAGGACAAGAGCUUUGUGGGUUCCA